RNAcentral lists this transfer RNA (67 nucleotides) under bovine gut metagenome. It matches the Rfam family "tRNA". Rfam says of the family: Transfer RNA (tRNA) molecules are approximately 80 nucleotides in length. Their secondary structure includes four short double-helical elements and three loops (D, anti-codon, and T loops). Further hydrogen bonds mediate the characteristic L-shaped molecular structure. tRNAs have two regions of fundamental functional importance: the anti-codon, which is responsible for specific mRNA codon recognition, and the 3' end, to which the tRNAs corresponding amino acid is attached (by aminoacyl-tRNA synthetases). tRNAs cope with the degeneracy of the genetic code in two manners: having more than one tRNA (with a specific anti-codon) for a particular amino acid; and 'wobble' base-pairing, i.e. permitting non-standard base-pairing at the 3rd anti-codon position. The record is from RNAcentral.
GGGCAUAGUUCAGUGGUAGAAUGUCUGCUUCCCAAGCAGAAGAUCGCGAGUUCGAGUCUCGUUGCCC